GUAGGUGGCGAGCGUUAUCCGGAAUGAUUGGGCGUAAAGGGUGCGUAGGUGGCAGAUCAAGUCUGGAGUAAAAGGUAUGGGCUCAACCCGUACUGGCUCUGGAAACUGAUCAGCUAGAGAACAGAAGAGGACGGCGGAACUCCAUGUGUAGCGGUAAAUGCGUAGAUAUAUGGAAGAACACCGGUGGCGAAGGCGGCCGUCUGGUCUGAUUCUGACACUGAAGCACGAAAGCGUGGGGAGCAAACAGGAUUAGAUACCCUGGUAGUCCACGCCCUAAACGAUGUCUGCCGGUUGUUGGGGAUUUAUAUCUUCAGUAACGAAGCUAACGCGUGAUGCAGACCGCCUGGGGAGU
Molecule: ribosomal RNA, 352 nt
Filed under: uncultured bacterium
Lineage: Bacteria
Description: bacterial SSU rRNA
Rfam family: Bacterial small subunit ribosomal RNA
Source: RNAcentral